This 286-nucleotide ribosomal RNA is filed under the name uncultured bacterium. RNAcentral's name for it is "partial 16S ribosomal RNA". The stretch from base 51 to 286 matches the Rfam family "Bacterial small subunit ribosomal RNA", at positions 560 to 794 of the family's 1533-position model. The record is from RNAcentral.
UUACUAGAGGGUGCGACGACGGUUAACUACCGGACUUUACGGUAGGGACGGUAAAGCGUGCGUAGGCGGCUUUUUAAGUCGGAUGUGAAAUCCCUGAGCUUAACUUAGGAAUUGCAUUCGAUACUGGGAAGCUAGAGUAUGGGAGAGGAUGGUAGAAUUCCAGGUGUAGCGGUGAAAUGCGUAGAGAUCUGGAGGAAUACCGAUGGCGAAGGCUAGCCAUCUGGCCUAAUACUGACGCUGAGGUACGAAAGCAUGGGGAGCAAACAGGAUUAGAUACCCCCGUAGU